GAGUUAACGGAAAUGAAUGAAUUGUUGUUUAAUAGAUCCUUCCGAGGGUGAAAGGACCUAAGAGAAGUUAAUUUAUUCACGGAAAGUUAAAAAGUUUUUUAUUCAAACUUUAGAUCCUUCCAAAGAUGAAAGAACCUAAGCGAGUUCAUUAAGGGCGGGACUUACCUGGAGGCGGGUAGCUCUUGAACCUUCCAUUCUUUUUGAGGAUUGGUUUAUUGCCGGAGUAAAACAGGAAGGGAUGACUAAUGACGGCAAGAUUUUUUUGAUUCAAAUGUUUGGAGUUGAUUUACACUUUUACGAAAAGACGUAUCUGCUACGAAGGCUCAAGACGAACUGUUGCUGUGGUUUAAAGUUUGGGGGGGGGGGGGGGGGGGGGGGGGGGGGGGGUCGAUGGGUGGCUAACAGGUCGGACCGUCGCGGGGUGAUGAUUCGGCGAGAACUAACUUAACUUUUAUGCGAUUCGUGAGCCGAUGGCUCUGUCGAUCGGGCAAGGUACCAGUGUAACUGUCGCGAACUAUUUGAAAUUUCCAACACUGUUGGAACGGCUAAUUCCGAAGAAAAGACAGCCGAUUCUUGUUCAUAUUGGAUUACUAUUUCGUAGAAAUAUCAUCCCGAUGGGAAAACGAACCGGUAUGAACCUUCAAAAAAUUAUUGACGUUCAAUGACAAUAUGUUAUCAAUGAGAUGCAGAUUUUAUAAGUUAUCUUCACUCUCAAACGGAGACAUGAAUAUGGGUAAAAAAUUAAAAUGUAAUGGAAAGAAUAAAAUAUUUCCAAUUGAAACGUGUAUAACAUUACACGGGUAAACUUAAUUUUUAAAUUACUCUUAGCACUUGACAACAUUUAAACCCUAUAUUGUCAUA
This is a long non-coding RNA of Belonocnema kinseyi, 861 nucleotides long. RefSeq lists it as uncharacterized. The transcript is spliced from 3 exons. NCBI's taxonomy places the organism in Eukaryota, Metazoa, Arthropoda, Insecta, Hymenoptera, Cynipidae. The record is from RefSeq and is a predicted model, not a curated record.